This 497-nucleotide ribosomal RNA is filed under the name uncultured bacterium. RNAcentral's name for it is "partial 16S ribosomal RNA". It matches the Rfam family "Bacterial small subunit ribosomal RNA", at positions 28 to 507 of the family's 1533-position model. The record is from RNAcentral.
GAUGAACGCUGGCGGCGUGCCUAAUACAUGCAAGUCGAGCGAACAGACGAGGAGCUUGCUCCUCUGACGUUAGCGGCGGACGGGUGAGUAACACGUGGAUAACCUACCUAUAAGACUGGGAUAACUUCGGGAAACCGGAGCUAAUACCGGAUAAUAUAUUUAACCGCAUGGUUCAAUAGUGAAAGACGGUUUUGCUGUCACUUAUAGAUGGAUCCGCGCCGCAUUAGCUAGUUGGUAAGGUAACGGCUUACCAAGGCAACGAUGCUUAGCCGACCUGAGAGGGGGAUCGGCCACACUGGAACUGAGACACGGUCAAGACUCCUACGGGAGGCAGCAGUAGGGAAUCUUCCGCAAUGGGCGAAAGCCUGACGGAGCAACGCCGCGUGAGUGAUGAAGGUCUUCGGAUCGUAAAACUCUGUUAUUAGGGAAGAACAAAUGUGUAAGUAACUAUGCACGUCUUGACGGUACCUAAUCAGAAAGCCACGGCUAACUACGUG